RNAcentral lists this ribosomal RNA (517 nucleotides) under uncultured Staphylococcus sp. Its description in RNAcentral is "bacterial SSU rRNA". It matches the Rfam family "Bacterial small subunit ribosomal RNA", at positions 8 to 507 of the family's 1533-position model. The record is from RNAcentral. Lineage: Bacteria; Bacillati; Bacillota; Bacilli; Caryophanales; Staphylococcaceae.
AGAGUUUGAUCCUGGCUCAGGAUGAACGCUGGCGGCGUGCCUAAUACAUGCAAGUCGAGCGAACAGACAAGGAGCUUGCUCCUUUGACGUUAGCGGCGGACGGGUGAGUAACACGUGGGUAACCUACCUAUAAGACUGGGAUAACUUCGGGAAACCGGAGCUAAUACCGGAUAAUAUUUCGAACCGCAUGGUUCGAUAGUGAAAGAUGGUUUUGCUAUCACUUAUAGAUGGACCCGCGCCGUAUUAGCUAGUUGGUAAGGUAACGGCUUACCAAGGCGACGAUACGUAGCCGACCUGAGAGGGUGAUCGGCCACACUGGAACUGAGACACGGUCCAGACUCCUACGGGAGGCAGCAGUAGGGAAUCUUCCGCAAUGGGCGAAAGCCUGACGGAGCAACGCCGCGUGAGUGAUGAAGGUCUUCGGAUCGUAAAACUCUGUUAUUAGGGAAGAACAUACGUGUAAGUAACUAUGCACGUCUUGACGGUACCUAAUCAGAAAGCCACGGCUAACUACGUG